UUUGUUGGCCUCAAAUAGCUGCUUUAUUAGAUGUAAUGAAGCAGGGGACAUAGAAGCAAAAAGUAAAACAGCAGAAGAAGAAAUGAUCAAGAUUAGAUCCUGUGCUGAAAGAGAAACCAAGAAAAAAGAUGACAUUCCAGAAGAAUACAAAGGAAAUGUAAAACAAUGUGAAAUCAAUUAUGUAAAGAAAUUUCAGAGCUUCCAAGACCAAAAACUUAAAAUAAGUAAAGAAGAGAGUAAAAUUCUUAAAAAAGGCUCAGAAAGAUGGAUUUUUGCAUGAGACGCUUCUGGACAGUACUCUAGGUCAUUCUGAAGCAAGUGAUACAAACCACAGAAUGAGGAACACGCCUUCAGGAGACUGAAUCUUGCUUCCCAACACUAGCUUGGUAUCUGAGACCAUCUGCCUGCUGACUGGCUUUCCUGGCACAAACAUUCCGCAUGUAGGCACAGUGUAUUCCUGGACUCCAUGUCAACCCGUUCACCCUUAUGUUCCCUUGGUUCCUCUCCCCAGUCCAGCGAGCAGAACUGAUUACAGAUCUUGACAACAGAAGAUACAGAUUUAAAAUAACUUGCCUGUUCCCGUGGACUUUAUCCACUAGUGGAGGAGGACAAGUGGACAAGGGGAGAGGGUAGGUGGGGGCUCCUUCCCUAUUCCUCCCAUUCCACUUUAUACAAACCCCAGCUAGACCACUGGGAGAGCAACGGAGGUUAAGAAUGACUGCAUCUAAAUAUUGUCAUCUAGUCCACUCUUCUUCCAUCUUGUACACAAGAAUAUCAUGAGUUUUGCUUAAAGCACUACUGAAACCAAGAUAAACUCUGGCUUGGCAUGCCUCUGACAGAUCAGUCUAGUAAUCUUAUCAAAACCAAGACUACCUAAAAGCACUAACCAAAGGAAAGCUCCCUCACCCCAACCUAUGACUGCUCACAUUUUUCAGAUUGAAUCAUUUCAAUUGUAUUUUAAGGUUCAUUGACUCUUCACCACCUCCAAGCUGCUCCUGAACACAACUGAUUGUUAUUUUUUAAUUCUGAAAACUUUCUCACUUCUAGAAUUUCCACUUGAGCCUUUGUUAUUAUUGUAGUUUCUUCUUCUCUGCUGUGAUUUCCUAUCCAUUUAUUUUAUGGGUUUUUGGGGUUUUGAUUUUAGUAAGAAUUACAAUAACUACUUUAAAAAUCCACACUAAUUCCAACAUCUGGGUCAUCGAGGUCAGUCUCUAUUGAUUGCCUUUUUCUUUGAAUAUGUUUCUUUAUAAGUUUGAUAUAAUGGGAUUGAAUUCUGAAUAUUGUAAAACUAGAUUUUGUUUUGUUCCUCUGAAAAUUUUGAUAAUUUUAUGUUGUAUUUGUUGUAUUUUGUUUGAUUGUUUUUUUCUAUUGUAUACUUUACAAUAUAUUUUCCUCCAAUGGUUUUAACGUUUCUAUUUCUCAAAAUAUUUAUGUUAAAAAUUAUACAAAGUAACUUGGUGCAGUGGCUCCCAUCUGUAAUCCCAGAACUUUUAGAGGCCAAGGCAGGAGGGUCACUUGAGCCCAGGAGUUGGAAGCCAGCCUAGACAACAGGACAAGAACCUGUCUCCACAAAAAAUUAUUAGGGUGGUGCAAAAAGUAAUUGCGGGUUUUGCCAUUACUUUCAAUGGCAAAACCCGCAAUUACUCUUGCACCAA
This 1655-nucleotide long non-coding RNA is filed under the name Homo sapiens (human). Its description in RNAcentral is "HSALNT0404766". The record is from RNAcentral. Lineage: Eukaryota; Metazoa; Chordata; Mammalia; Primates; Hominidae.